RNAcentral lists this ribosomal RNA (655 nucleotides) under Trichogyia rufibasale. RNAcentral's name for it is "partial 28S ribosomal RNA". It matches the Rfam family "Eukaryotic large subunit ribosomal RNA", at positions 407 to 825 of the family's 3401-position model. Lineage: Eukaryota; Metazoa; Arthropoda; Insecta; Lepidoptera; Limacodidae. The record is from RNAcentral.
GUUCAGGGGUAAACCUGCGAAACUCGAAUGAACGAACGGAGAGAUUCAUCGUCAUUCCUCGGUGUACGGGCGCGUUCAUCGAUGUCGUCGAUUUCGAUCGGUCGGCACGUGUCGCGUUCGUUUAUGUCCGGGGACGGCGUGCACUUCUCUCUUAGUAAUACAUCGCGACCCGUUCGAUGUCGGUCUAAGCGCUUUCCGGGAGCCCUGCUGUUCAUUUCGGUGGACGGUAGGACCGCGAAGGUUGCCGACCGGCCGUCGGACGGUAUAAGAUAGGAAUCGCGCACGCGUUAACGCGCGUCCGGCCCGACGCAAGGUAACGUCGUAUCCGAUAUCCUGCCAAAGUGCGGAGGUCGGUGCGGCGCCCCUGUCGUUGCUGCCGUGCAGUCUCGGACUGUGUGCGUCUCUGUCUGCGAUGAUUCUGUUUCGGGCACUCGCAGGACCCGUCUUGAAACACGGACCAAGGAGUCUAGCAUGUGUGCGAGUCAUUGAGAUUUAAAAACUGAAAGGCGCAACGAAAGUGAAGGCGUGCGCUUGUCGCGCGCUCAGGGAGGAUGGAGCGUUGAUCUCGAUCGACCUCUCGCACUCCCGAGGCGUCUCGUUUCCAAUCCGUGAAUGCAGGCGCGCUCUGAGCACAGAUGCUGGGACCCGAAAGAUG